GUGUCAGCAGCCGCGGUAAAACGUAGGAGGCUAGCGUUAUCCGGAUUUAUUGGGCGUAAAGCGUGUGCAGGCGGUUUGGUAAGUUGGAUGUGAAAGCUCCUGGCUUAACUGGGAGAGGUCGUUCAAAACUACCAGACUAGAGAAUGGGAGAGGGAGAUGGAAUUCCGGGUGUAGUGGUGAAAUGCGUAGAUAUCCGGAGGAACACCAGUGGCGAAAGCGGUCUCCUAGACCAUUUCUGACGCUUAAACACGAAAGCUAGGGUAGCAAACGGGAUUAGAAACCCCCGUAGUCC
Molecule: ribosomal RNA, 292 nt
Filed under: uncultured bacterium
Lineage: Bacteria
Description: partial 16S ribosomal RNA
Rfam family: Bacterial small subunit ribosomal RNA
Source: RNAcentral